RNAcentral lists this ribosomal RNA (465 nucleotides) under uncultured bacterium. RNAcentral describes it as "partial 16S ribosomal RNA". It matches the Rfam family "Bacterial small subunit ribosomal RNA", at positions 28 to 507 of the family's 1533-position model. The record is from RNAcentral.
GACGAACGCUGGCGGCGUGCUUAACACAUGCAAGUCGUACGGUAAGGCCCUUUCGGGGGUACACGAGUGGCGAACGGGUGAGUAACACGUGAGUAACCUGCCCACAACUUUGGGAUAACGCUAGGAAACUGGCUCUAAUACUUGCUAUGUGCUCCUGCCGCCUGGAGGGGGGUGGUAGGCUCCGGCGGUUGGGGAGGGACUCGCCGCCUGUCAGCUUGCUGGUGGGGGAGGUGCCGACCAAGGCGGCGACUGGUAGGCGGCCCGGGGGGGUGACCGGCCAAAAUGGGACUGGGAUACGGCCCAGACUCCCACGGGGGGCAAGAGUGGGGAAUAAUGCACAAUGGGCGGGAGCCUGAUGCAGCAACGCCGCGUGCGGGAUGACGGCCUUCGGGUUGUAAACCGCUUUCAGCAGGGACGAAGCUGUUUGUGACGGUACCUGCAGAAGAAGCACCGGCUAACUACGUG